ACUCCUACGGGGGGGCAGCAGUGAGGAAUAUUGGUCAAUGGGCGCGAGCCUGAACCAGCCAAGUCGCGUGAGGGAGGACGGCCCUACGGGUUGUAAACCUCUUUUGCCGGGGAGCAACGGGCGUCACGUGUGGCGCCACUGAGAGUACCCGGAGAAAAAGCAUCGGCUAACUCCGUGCCAGCAGCCGCGGUAAUACGGAGGAUGCGAGCGUUAUCCGGAUUUAUUGGGUUUAAAGGGUGCGUAGGCGGACGCUUAAGUCAGCGGUAAAAUUGCGGGGCUCAACCUCGUCGAGCCGUUGAAACUGG
Molecule: ribosomal RNA, 305 nt
Filed under: uncultured bacterium
Lineage: Bacteria
Description: bacterial SSU rRNA
Rfam family: Bacterial small subunit ribosomal RNA
Source: RNAcentral